This is a long non-coding RNA of Gymnodraco acuticeps, 4414 nucleotides long. RefSeq lists it as uncharacterized. The transcript has 3 exons. Lineage: Eukaryota; Metazoa; Chordata; Actinopteri; Perciformes; Bathydraconidae. The record is from RefSeq and is a predicted model, not a curated record.
CAGUCUCUGGCUCUCAUGAAGCUCCGCUUGCUCGCUUACUCUCAGACGCACUCAGCCUGAGUCAGAGUGUGGGACAGGACAGACAGGAACACCACAACUGAUCUCUUUCUUCACAUACAGCCGGCACAUUUCCCGGCUGUGAGUGGGGCCUUCAUGGAUUCUCCGUACAACGGCAAUACGUCCCUGCAGACGUCCACCUCCAACCUCAACGCCAGCUGCUCCAGACCCUCAGAAACAGAGGAUGAUGGGAAAGUGUCCAGUGACACCAUUUGGCUGUGGGUCGCUGUACUGGCAACCAUUGGCAACAUAGUGGUGGUGGCCGUGGUUUGCGCCUGUGCCUUCUGACGAGAUGGAAACUGAUGCUGUCUGAUAAUCCGAAACCUUCCAUAUCCUGAAAAUAUAUAUUUUUCUUCAGAAAUGAUGUAAAAUAGCCUUAACUUGAGACAUCUGAAAUGGAAUUUGCAUGGGAUAGUCAAAUCAAAUGAUUUUUACAUUUUUUCAAGAAAUAUAAGAGAGUAAAACUAAUAAACUACAGUUAAAUAAUCAAAAUAAAACAUACUUUCAAAAAUUUAUUUAUUUAUUUUAUUUAAAGCUUUCAUCAGAUGAAAUAAUGAUCCGAUAGAGACACAGGUAUAUCUAUUUUUUCCUUCAAGUGUUACAGUGAAACAAUACAAAAACAAAACCCACAAAAAUACAGUUAAACUAAUAUCACACUUACAUUAAGGGACUUUGAAAAUGGCCACUGAAACAUAUCUUACCUAAUAUACUGAAUACUGACCUCAACCUGACCAAAUAAGACCACAUGCAGACCCACUCAUGCACUGUUUUGCACAUGUUAUUGUGAAAAACCAGCAAAAAACUACCUAGCUAGUUUGUCUAAACAAACCAGAUCCAGUGGACAAAUAUAUAGAAAGUUAAAGACAAUCCUCAGAGCUUUGUUCAUUCAAUCAACCCACAAGCAACACUUUCCACCAGAAUUGGCUGAAAUGGUAGGGGUUGGGUCAGGGUUAGUGUUUUGGGGAACGUGCGGCACUCCGUAGGAGCGCAGCGUGGUGCACGGGCUCUCGGGUAAAUAUUUGUGUUUAAAAACCUGUUUAAAAACUCCUUAUUUUAUCCUAUUUACCAAUCAAAGUUUAUAAGGGUUAGGGUUAGCCACCAUGGCUUGUCAUUAAGCUUCCUAAUCCAACUUUAAUAUCACUAUAACAAUAAUGUAUCGGAAACAAUCAGAUGUCACCAGGAUGUUUAUUUUAGCCUCCAUAUGGACAAAGUAUUAACCUAUUUAAUAAGCAUUUUGUCCUGGAGCAAAACACAACACUUAUUCACUUUGGAUUGCAGGCUGGAAUAAGUGGUGCCUUAACAUAAUAGUACUAUACUUGCCUACGUGGUCAGCUGGUUAUGUAAGCCAAGCUGUUAUAUAAACCCAUUCAGGCUCAGCAGAGGUCAGAAGGAUUACACAGGAUCAUAGCUUGAUCUCUUUGAGGGAUCUGAAGCCAGAGAGAGAUCCACUGUUGAAGCUUGUAACGGAGUGUGUGAUAGUAGGAUUUAGAAGUACUACGAGGUCCGAGCCCUGCAGUAUAACGUCCUUACGAUGCUCGACCAAAGCACUGAACUUCAACCUGUUCUGUCUUUACUAUUCUUUUCCAUGCUAUUGAUUUUAUUCUUACAUUUACAGCACCCAGUAUAUUUAGUUGACUAAUUUUGAGCAAUAAGAGCAAUAUGGAAUUUACUCAGCUCCGCCUCCUCACUAAUGUUACGUUUUUUGUUAUGGCAUGGCAGUCAUUGAUAACAAUGGUAGAUAAACCACUUGAACAUUAUUAGUAGUUUGUUUUAUAAGGAGUCCAUGAUUUAGAAAUAUGAGAUAACAGAGAAAGUAAUGGGUUGAUUAAGAUGAUCUCAUGCCAUGACUAAAGCUCAUUUUUAGUCCACAAACAUCCACUUGGUUGGUUAAUUUAAAAACUCUGCUUCAUCUGACACCCAUGUCUAGUAUAUAUAUAUUUUUAAAAGCCUAGAGAAAACAACAUCCUUUUAGAGGGGAGCAGGGCUGAGCUGAGCAGUGACUUGUUGAAAUUUAACAAGCAAGGAAGUUCAAGCAAUUGUCUCUGCAGAUAUUAGAGCGGUCAGAGCAGAUCGUAUCUCUGCGGCUGACUUUAUUAGAAGAUGAUUUUACAGACAGAAUAGAGCUAAGUGCACCCAGCGGGGGCAAAUAUAGAGUCUUAAGGUGCAGACAGAGAAAUAAUUAUUAACAUGUGAGAUAAUGAGUGGCGAUGAGUGACACUAGAAGUGAAAAGGAAAGAUGUGGAAGAGAGAGGAAAAUAAUGAGGCAGAAAAUGCUCUUAUGCAUUUCCGCUAUUUGUACAUUUAUGACAACUGACAGGGAAAGGGACAUUGUAUAAGAGUGGGAGUGAGGAAACAAGUGAAAAGGAGAGAUAAUGGUGGGGACAGAGUUGGUGUAGGGAGGAGGAUUAUGACAGAAAUAAACAAUGAGUGUAUUUGAGUAAAUUGGCAAACAUGAGUAUAGGACAAAAGAAAAAUGCAAGAAAAGUAAAGUGCACAGGUGAAAAGGGAAAAUAAAUAAAGCCAUUUAUUUUCUGAAUUAAUUCUACUUUAAGAAGUGCUUUAUGUUGCAUACUUAAAGUAUAUACAGAGUAGGGUAUGACUUAAAACAGCUAGAUUUCUCAACUCUAACAACAAACCGAGAACACAUACAAGAACAAACAGUAUAUAUUGACAAUAUUAGUUAUAUUGAGUAUGUUUGUGGUCCUUGUUUGGUCGUCAGAGGUUCAGAUGUCCAACGUUUACCUCCUUAUGAAGUUUACCUCUACCAACUCCUUCACUGUCCAAAUACCAGCCAGUUUCUGUGGAAGCAUGAACCCACAAUAUCAACUAAUUAGAUACCAUUAAUGUGUUUCUACAUAAAGACGCCAAGCGCACAGAGAAGAAAGCAUGCACACAUCUGUUAAUAUGGACUUCUACAACAGCCUACAACAGGCUAGGUGUUUCUUUCAUUCCCUCCAUCUUACUGCUGACAUCACCUGCCUGCACAGUCACACUGAAGUGAAGGAAAGCAUCUCAAGACGCCUGGAAACAACCCAGUGAUCCCGCUACUCACCACCAUGGCACCCAGAGAGAUUCCCAUCAUCGUUCGUGAAACAAUAAGGACUGGAAACAAUGGCUUGGAGAGGAGACCAGCAGAACAGUCUGAGUUUCAUAUAACAAACUGAGAGACAACAUUGUGGCAUUGACUUUGUUCUCAUCCACGUGGAUUUAAAGUACAGUUCACACGGAUAUACGGCUUUUUCAGGACGAGCAUGUUCUCACAGAGUGGAUUUGCAUGAACAGUGUCUCUGUUCUUUGGAGAAUGUGUAAAACUGCAGAAAGUGGACAUGAGGAUCUUUGCCAAAUUCGAGCAGAAUGAAAAGGAACAACAGCCUCAGAUGGUAAAUGUCUCAUAAAGGUUAUAUAUGGCUACAGGCCUACACUGCACUCACAGCCCUGAUGAUUAGUAACAGUUUGAAGAUCCUUUCCCUCAUUCAAUGGGGUUGAAUAUUGCUUGGAUAUUCUGAUCUUUGUAAUGAGGACAUUUGCGGAAUGUAGUUGAAGAUUUGUCACUAAUCAAAUCAAAUCAAUUCAUUUGACUGUUGAGAAGACAAUGAAAAGAUAUAAUGGCUUUGAAGACAAUGGACAAUUCCUUCUGUGGACACUAUGGGACUGAAUCGAAGAAGAGGUUUGGUGGUAAACCUUUAUCCUUUAAUGUCAAAUUAUUUAAAAACAAUCAAUGAAACUUAACAGAACAACCAUUAAACUUGUCAAGGUCUGGAUAAUGAAUUUCUAUUUGUGAUACAACAAGCUAACUUACUCAAACAUUUUCAAAUCGGCAAAAACAUAAAACUCUGUGUUAUAUCUGAAAGAUGGUUGAACAACAAUGUGUUAUGAAGCACAUACAUACUAUGCACACAGUACACUCACUUUACAUCAGGAUUUUAUUAAAACAGAUAGUGAUAGCUAGAUGCAGAUAUGAAGCAGACACAGUAUGACAGCACUGUUUGGUUAGCAGCAGCACAAAUGGACUACAUGCUACCAUUGUACCUCACUGAACAUGCAUGGCAACUAGCACAUGUCUUAUUUUCUAACUAAUGUAGUAAGUGUUUAUCUAUUCACACAUACUUAAGUCAGUAAUUGGACUUCAGUAAAACAAUUUAGCCUAUUGGUUUUAUGAGUUAAUAUAUGCUUAUACAUGUAUGUUGGAGUUUGACUUUACAUUUGACUUGCUUCUAUAUCUUACUUUUACGUUUUAUUUGAGGAAUUUCUCUCUUUGUAAAUCCAAGGCCAUGGAGCUAUCAGGAAGUGUUUUUAAGGUGGACCUUUCUACUGUAUGAGUUAUGUAAUGUAACCUUAUUAAAGUAGUAAGAAUGUG